RNAcentral lists this ribosomal RNA (254 nucleotides) under uncultured bacterium. RNAcentral describes it as "partial 16S ribosomal RNA". It matches the Rfam family "Bacterial small subunit ribosomal RNA", at positions 524 to 776 of the family's 1533-position model. The record is from RNAcentral.
UACGGAGGAUCCAAGCGUCAUCCGGAAUUACUGGGCGUAAAGAGUUGCGUAGGUGGCAUGUAAAGCGAAUAGUGAAAUCCUGUGGCUCAACCAUAGAUCCAUUAUUCGAACUCACAAGCUUGAGCAUAGUAGAGGUACCUGGAAUUUCUAGUGUAGGAGUGAAAUCCGUAGAUAUUAGAAGGAACACCGAUGGCGUAGGCAGGGUACUGGGCUAUUGCUGACACUAAGGCACGAAAGCGUGGGGAGCGAACAGG